CUCUACACUUCUAGUUUUCUGUCCAUGCUCUGAGCAUCUCUGGGACUCCGCAGGUGAUUCCAAGGACUGUGAGAUAAGGUCUUCCUCGGGUGGAAAAGAGCCUCACGGAAGGAAAAGGAGCACAAACAUCUGGCUUUCCCCCUAGUAUGCAGUCAAGGUGGAGUCAGAGUGGCAGAAGUGAGAAAAGGAAACACCCAAAUGCUCACAAGCUUGGAGUUAUGGGCAAGGGGCUGCUAGAGAAUCUGCAUAAGGGUGAAGAGCCUCUGGUCCCGCAGCAGCUGAACUGUGAGGUCUUCUUACUGAACAAGGUAAAGCUUGUGACUGGUAACAAAAGUAGAACACAACUAUGAAGGUGUAAGAAUCAGUGACAGAAGGACUUGAGAUGAUAGACAGUUACAGUGACCAUCAGGACUGGAUGGCUCUUCUCCAGGCAUGAUAAAGAAUGGAACAGCUGACUUGUUAAUAAAUAUCUACAAGUGAUCAUCUCACAUUUAUUAUGCCAUGCUGAGAUGAAACCUUAACCCUGACUCUAACUCUAGCCCUAGGAAUACCAGUUAAGUUAUAGAUAUUUUAUUUUUGCAUUAUCCUGAAGGACAGAAAUGUUGCUAACACUGAACUCAUGCUAAAGAAAUU
Long non-coding RNA from Harpia harpyja (harpy eagle), 633 nucleotides. RefSeq lists it as uncharacterized. The transcript is spliced from 4 exons. Lineage: Eukaryota; Metazoa; Chordata; Aves; Accipitriformes; Accipitridae. The record is from RefSeq and is a predicted model, not a curated record.